Molecule: ribosomal RNA, 466 nt
Filed under: uncultured bacterium
Lineage: Bacteria
Description: partial 16S ribosomal RNA
Rfam family: Bacterial small subunit ribosomal RNA
Source: RNAcentral
GACGAACGCUGGCGGCGCGCCUAACACAUGCAAGUCGAACGAGCGAUAGAGAGCUUGCUUUCUCGAGCGAGUGGCGAACGGGUGAGUAACGCGUGAGGAACCUGCCUCAAAGAGGGGGACAACAGUUGGAAACGACUGCUAAUACCGCAUAAGCCCACGGCUCGGCAUCGAGCAGGGGGAAAAGGAGCAAUCCGCUUUGAGAUGGCCUCGCGUCCGAUUAGCUAGUUGGUGAGGUAACGGCCCACCAAGGCAACGAUCGGUAGCCGGACUGAGAGGUUGAACGGCCACAUUGGGACUGAGACACGGCCCAGACUCCUACGGGAGGCAGCAGUGGGGAAUAUUGCACAAUGGGGGAAACCAUGAUGCAGCGACGCCGCGUGGAGGAAGAAGGUCUUCGGAUUGUAAACUCCUGUUGUUGGGGAAGAUAAUGACGGUACCCAACAAGGAAGUGACGGCUAACUACGUG